UUUAUUGUUCAAGGUAGAUUAUCGGAAGAUCACCCACAUAUGCAUCUGCGAGAAAGAAUUACUUUUCCUGUCUAUGUGUAAACUAGUUUUGCUGACACCAAGAACUCACUUUCUUUUUUUCUGACACUUCAUUAUUUGUUGAAAAAUAGUCUAAUUACAGUCUUCUUCUCUCAGAGUCAUAGUUCUAAUUAUUAGUUACAUUGACCUUUUCUGUUGAAUAAAAAGAAACAAACGUUAUAGCAUAAACCAUAAAAGCACUGGCAUUAAAUGCUAGUUGCAAAGAAGUACAUUCAUUGUGUGCUCCCAAAUUAGAAUGAAACAUCUUUGCAAGGCC
RNAcentral lists this long non-coding RNA (334 nucleotides) under Bos taurus (domestic cattle). Its description in RNAcentral is "long non-coding RNA NONBTAT020586". Lineage: Eukaryota; Metazoa; Chordata; Mammalia; Artiodactyla; Bovidae. The record is from RNAcentral.